Molecule: ribosomal RNA, 492 nt
Filed under: uncultured bacterium
Lineage: Bacteria
Description: partial 16S ribosomal RNA
Rfam family: Bacterial small subunit ribosomal RNA
Source: RNAcentral
AGUGAACGCUGGCGGUAGGCCUAACACAUGCAAGUCGAACGGCAGCACAGUAAGAGCUUGCUCUUACGGGUGGCGAGUGGCGGAUGGGUGAGGAAUACAUCGGAAUUUACUUUUUCGUGGGGGAUAACGACGGGAAACUUACGCUAAUACCGCCUACGACCUACGGGUGAAAGCAGGGGAUCUUCGGACCUUGCGCGUUUGCAUGAGCCGAUGCCGGAUUAGCUAGUUGGCGGGGUAAAGGCACACCAAGGCGACGAUCCGUAGCUGGUCUGAGCGGAUGGUCGGCCACACUAGAACGGGACCGCGGACCAGACUCCUGCGAGAGGCAGCAGUGGGGAACGUUGGACAGUAGGCGGAAGUCUUAUACAGCCAGAGCACGUGUGUGGAGGAGGCGUUGGGGUUGUGAAGCCGGUUUGUUGGGAAAGAAACGCAGUAGGUUAGUACCACGCUAUAGUGACGGUACCCAAAGAAGAAGCACCGGCUAACUACGUG